Long non-coding RNA from Melitaea cinxia (Glanville fritillary), 240 nucleotides. RefSeq lists it as uncharacterized. NCBI's taxonomy places the organism in Eukaryota, Metazoa, Arthropoda, Insecta, Lepidoptera, Nymphalidae. The transcript has 2 exons. The record is from RefSeq and is a predicted model, not a curated record.
UUUAUCUCAAUUGAACUCGGUAGGUGGCGCUGCUAUCGAACCGAGAAGCGUCGACUCCACAUCCUUUGGCCAGUAAUCCUUAAUAACCUAAAUACCUAAAAAGAAAAAAAAUGGAAAAAGGAUCCUUUUGAGGUUAUAAAAUAGGAAAAGAAAGCGUGUAUUGCUGUUUUGCACUUAUUGUAAUGAAAAGUUUAGACUUCAUUUUUAGUCUUUUGAUAAGAAAUAAAUAAAUACGUUUUA